AAACUUCCUCCGUGCACUCUUCCUUCGGAAACUGAUGAUGAGCUUCCACCUACUGCCAUGCUUGCUUGAUUGAAUCCAAAAUAGUUCCAACCGGUAGAUGUCAAAACAUUACUACCUGUGUUCAUGAUAUCAAUCUCCUUCAUCUUCCCAGGAUUUAGGGGUGUUGAAUCCAAGGUCGAAGCCCCUAAAGUAUCACCACCACCAUGAACGCGUUUGUCUUGCUCCAGGGCACCAUGAGAUUCAACAAGUCCACUCUUCCCUUUUGCAAAUGAGUCACAAGUACUAUCAUUUUGGCUGAAUCCGGAAUCAGGUUGACCCCAAGAACAUCUUUUUCCGCUGCCAUGCGCCUUGCAGAAAUCAGUGCUUCCCUGA
RNAcentral lists this unclassified non-coding RNA (372 nucleotides) under Hevea brasiliensis (rubber tree). The record is from RNAcentral. Lineage: Eukaryota; Viridiplantae; Streptophyta; Magnoliopsida; Malpighiales; Euphorbiaceae.